UGAAAGGAAGCUUUGAAUAUUUGAUGGAGCAUCAUAUUUUUAAUAUGAACAACUUAGAUAAAAAGUCUUUUAU
This 73-nucleotide transfer RNA is filed under the name Aplidium conicum. RNAcentral describes it as "transfer RNA-Lys". Lineage: Eukaryota; Metazoa; Chordata; Ascidiacea; Aplousobranchia; Polyclinidae. The record is from RNAcentral.